GACGAACGCUGGCGGCGUGCUUAACACAUGCAAGUCGAACGGAAAGGCCCUGCUUGCAGGGUACUCGAGUGGCGAACGGGUGAGUAACACGUGGGUGAUCUGCCCUGCACUUCGGGAUAAGCUUGGGAAACUGGGUCUAAUACCGGAUAGGAGCCAUCUUUAGUGUGGUGGUUGGAAAGUUUUUUCGGUGUAGGAUGAGCUCGCGGCCUAUCAGCUUGUUGGUGGGGUAAUGGCCUACCAAGGCGGCGACGGGUAGCCGGCCUGAGAGGGUGUACGGCCACAUUGGGACUGAGAUACGGCCCAGACUCCUACGGGAGGCAGCAGUGGGGAAAAUUGCACAAUGGGCGCAAGCCUGAUGCAGCGACGCCGCGUGGGGGAUGAAGGCCUUCGGGUUGUAAACUCCUUUCGCUAGGGACGAAGCUUUUUUGUGACGGUACCUAGAUAAGAAGCACCGGCUAACUACGUG
RNAcentral lists this ribosomal RNA (466 nucleotides) under uncultured bacterium. RNAcentral describes it as "partial 16S ribosomal RNA". It matches the Rfam family "Bacterial small subunit ribosomal RNA", at positions 28 to 507 of the family's 1533-position model. The record is from RNAcentral.